GUCUACAGCCAUGCCACCCUGAACAAGCCCGAUCCCGUCUGAUCUUGGAAGCUAAGCAGGGUCAGGCCUGGUUAGUACUUGGAUGGGAGACCACCUAGGAAGACCAGGUGCUGUAGGUG
RNAcentral lists this ribosomal RNA (119 nucleotides) under Pteropus alecto (black flying fox). The record is from RNAcentral. RNAcentral also lists the same sequence under 1 other name. Lineage: Eukaryota; Metazoa; Chordata; Mammalia; Chiroptera; Pteropodidae.